Molecule: ribosomal RNA, 253 nt
Filed under: uncultured bacterium
Lineage: Bacteria
Description: partial 16S ribosomal RNA
Rfam family: Bacterial small subunit ribosomal RNA
Source: RNAcentral
UACGGUGGGGGCAAGCGUUGUUCGGAAUUACUGGGCGUAAAGCGUGCGCAGGCGGUUUUGUAAGUCUGUCGUGAAAGCCCCGGGCUCAACCUGGGAAUUGCGAUGGAGACUGCAAGGCUUGAAUCUGGCAGAGGGGGGUAGAAUUCCACGUGUAGCAGUGAAAUGCGUAGAGAUGUGGAGGAACACCGAUGGCGAAGGCAGCCCCCUGGGUCAAGAUUGACGCUCAUGCACGAAAGCGUGGGGAGCAAACAGG